GAUGAACGCUAGCGGCAGGCCUAACACAUGCAAGUCGAGGGAGAGGUUACCUUCGGGUAACCAAAACCGGCGCACGGGUGCGUAACGCGUAUACAAUCUGCCUUUCACAUAGGGAUAGCCCGAAGAAAUUUAGAUUAAUACCUAAUGGUAUAUAAGAGCGGCAUCGUUUUUAUAUUAAAGCUACGGUGGUGAAAGAUGAGUAUGCGUUCUAUUAGCUAGUUGGAGAGGUAACGGCUCCCCAAGGCGACGAUAGAUAGGGGUUCUGAGAGGGAUGUCCCCCACACUGGUACUGAGAUACGGACCAGACUCCUACGGGAGGCAGCAGUGAGGAAUAUUGGACAAUGGUCGGAAGACUGAUCCAGCCAUGCCGCGUGCAGGAUGAAGGUCCUAUGGAUUGUAAACUGCUUUUGUAAGGGAAGAAUAAGGAGUACGUGUACUUUGAUGACGGUACCUUACGAAUAAGCAUCGGCUAACUCCGUG
This 480-nucleotide ribosomal RNA is filed under the name uncultured bacterium. RNAcentral describes it as "partial 16S ribosomal RNA". It matches the Rfam family "Bacterial small subunit ribosomal RNA", at positions 28 to 507 of the family's 1533-position model. The record is from RNAcentral.